RNAcentral lists this ribosomal RNA (255 nucleotides) under uncultured bacterium. RNAcentral describes it as "partial 16S ribosomal RNA". It matches the Rfam family "Bacterial small subunit ribosomal RNA", at positions 102 to 353 of the family's 1533-position model. The record is from RNAcentral.
ACGGGUGAGUAACACGUGAGCAACCUGCCUUUCAGAGGGGGAUAACGUUUGGAAACGAACGCUAAUACCGCAUAACGUAUUGGGACCGCAUGGUCCUGAUACCAAAGGAGCAAUCCGCUGAGAGAUGGGCUCGCGUCUGAUUAGAUAGUUGGCGGGGUAACGGCCCACCAAGUCGACGAUCAGUAGCCGGACUGAGAGGUUGACCGGCCACAUUGGGACUGAGACACGGCCCAGACUCCUACGGGAGGCAGCAUG